Molecule: ribosomal RNA, 253 nt
Filed under: uncultured bacterium
Lineage: Bacteria
Description: partial 16S ribosomal RNA
Rfam family: Bacterial small subunit ribosomal RNA
Source: RNAcentral
UACGUAGGUGACCAGCGUUGUCCGGAUUUACUGGGCGUAAAGAGCGCGCAGGCGGUCGUUCAAGUCGAGUGUGAAAGCCCCCGGCUCAACUGGGGAGGGUCACUUGAUACUGAUCGACUCGAAGGCAGGAGAGGGAAGCGGAAUUCCCGGUGUAGUGGUGAAAUGCGUAGAUAUCGGGAGGAACACCAGUGGCGAAGGCGGCUUCCUGGUCCAGUACCGACGUUCAGGCACGAAAGCGUGGGGAGCAAACAGG